UACGGAGGGGGCUAGCGUUGUUCGGAAUUACUGGGCGUAAAGCGCACGUAGGCGGCUUUGUAAGUUAGAGGUGAAAGCCCAGGGCUUAACCCUGGAAUUGCCUUUAAGACUGCAUCGCUAGAAUCGUGGAGAGGUGAGUGGAAUUCCGAGUGUAGAGGUGAAAUUCGUAGAUAUUCGGAAGAACACCAGUGGCGAAGGCGACUCGCUGGACAAGUAUUGACGCUGAGGUGCGAAAGCGUGGGGAGCAAACAGG
RNAcentral lists this ribosomal RNA (253 nucleotides) under uncultured bacterium. RNAcentral describes it as "partial 16S ribosomal RNA". It matches the Rfam family "Bacterial small subunit ribosomal RNA", at positions 524 to 776 of the family's 1533-position model. The record is from RNAcentral.